This 394-nucleotide ribosomal RNA is filed under the name uncultured bacterium. RNAcentral describes it as "partial 16S ribosomal RNA". It matches the Rfam family "Bacterial small subunit ribosomal RNA", at positions 338 to 730 of the family's 1533-position model. The record is from RNAcentral.
CCUAGGGGGGGCAGCAGUGAGGAAUAUUGGUCAAUGGGCGGAAGCCUGAACCAGCCAAGUAGCGUGCGGGAUGAAGGCCCUACGGGUCGUAAACCGCUUUUGCACGGGGACAACACCCUCCACUUGUGGAGGUCUGCAGGUACCGUGCGAAUAAGGGCCGGCUAAUUCCGUGCCAGCAGCCGCGGUAAUACGGAGGGUCCGAGCGUUAUCCGGAUUCAUUGGGUUUAAAGGGAGCGUAGGCGGGGGUUCAAGUCAGCGGUAAAAUUGCGGGGCUCAACCCCGCCCCGCCGUUGAAACUGGGAGGCUUGAGUGUGUGAGAGGCAUGCGGAAUGCGUGGUGUAGCGGUGAAAUGCUUAGAUAUCACGCAGAACCCCGAUUGCGAAGGCAGCAUGCC